UGUUCCUACGGGAGGCAGCAGUCGGGAAUAUUGCGCAAUGGAGGAAACUCUGACGCAGUGACGCCGCGUAUAGGAAGAAGGUUUUCGGAUUGUAAACUAUUGUCGUUAGGGAAGAGAAAGGACAGUACCUAAGGAGGAAGCUCCGGCUAACUACGUGCCAGCAGCCGCGGUAAUACGUAGGGGGCAAGCGUUAUCCGGAUUUACUGGGUGUAAAGGGGGCGCAGACGGCAAUGCAAGCCAGGAGUGAAAGCCCGGGGCCCAACCCCG
RNAcentral lists this ribosomal RNA (267 nucleotides) under uncultured bacterium. RNAcentral describes it as "partial 16S ribosomal RNA". It matches the Rfam family "Bacterial small subunit ribosomal RNA", at positions 334 to 617 of the family's 1533-position model. The record is from RNAcentral.